CUUGGUCAUUUAGAGGAAGUGAAAGUCGUAACAAGGUUUCCGUAGGUGAACCUGCGGAAGGAUCAUUACCUAGAGUUUGUAGACUUCGGUCUGCUACCUCUUACCCAUGUCUUUUGAGUACCUUCGUUUCCUCGGCGGGUCCGCCCGCCGAUUGGACAACAUUCAAACCCUUUGCAGUUGCAAUCAGCGUCUGAAAAAACUUAAUAGUUACAACUUUCAACAACGGAUCUCUUGGUUCUGGCAUCGAUGAAGAACGCAGCGAAAUGCGAUAAGUAGUGUGAAUUGCAGAAUUCAGUGAAUCAUCGAAUCUUUGAACGCACAUUGCGCCCCUUGGUAUUCCAUGGGGCAUGCCUGUUCGAGCGUCAUUUGUACCUUCAAGCUCUGCUUGGUGUUGGGUGUUUUGUCUCGCCUCUGCGUGUAGACUCGCCUUAAAACAAUUGGCAGCCGGCGUAUUGAUUUCGGAGCGCAGUACAUCUCGCGCUUUGCACUCAUAACGACGACGUCCAAAAGUACAUUUUUACACUCUUGACCUCGGAUCAGGUAGGGAUACCCGCUGAACUUAAGCAUAUCAAUAAGCGGAGGA
RNAcentral lists this ribosomal RNA (583 nucleotides) under fungal endophyte sp. g62. RNAcentral describes it as "eukaryotic LSU rRNA". The stretch from base 212 to 365 matches the Rfam family "5.8S ribosomal RNA". Lineage: Eukaryota; Fungi. The record is from RNAcentral.